UGAACGCUGGCGGCGUGCUUAACACAUGCAAGUCGAACGAGAACGGAUUUAAGCUUGCUUAAAUUGUCAGCUAAGUGGCGCACGGGUGAGUAAUAUAUAGGUAACGUGCCCUAGAGAGGGGGAUAACAGUUGGAAACGACUGCUAACACCCCAUAUGCCUUUAAGUCAAAAGACUGCAAGGGAAAUAUUUAUAGCUCUAGGAUCGGCCUGUACGGUAUCAGCUUGUUGGUGAGGUAAUGGCUCACCAAGGCAAUGACACCUAACUGGUUUGAGAGGAUGAUCAGUCACACUGGAACUGAGACACGGUCCAGACUCCUACGGGAGGCAGCAGUGGGGAAUAUUGCACAAUGGACGAAAGUCUGAUGCAGCAACGCCGCGUGGAGGAUGACACAUUUCGGUGCGUAAACUCCUUUUAUAUAGGAAGAUAAUGACGGUACUAUAUGAAUAAGCGCCGGCUAACUCC
This 463-nucleotide ribosomal RNA is filed under the name uncultured bacterium. Its description in RNAcentral is "bacterial SSU rRNA". It matches the Rfam family "Bacterial small subunit ribosomal RNA", at positions 30 to 504 of the family's 1533-position model. The record is from RNAcentral.